UAGGGAAUCUUCGGCAAUGGGGGCAACCCUGACCGAGCAACGCCGCGUGAGUGAAGAAGGUUUUCGGAUCGUAAAGCUCUGUUGUAAGAGAAGAACGUGUGUGAGAGUGGAAAGUUCACACAGUGACGGUAACUUACCAGAAAGGGACGGCUAACUACGUGACCAG
Molecule: ribosomal RNA, 166 nt
Filed under: uncultured bacterium
Lineage: Bacteria
Description: partial 16S rRNA
Rfam family: Bacterial small subunit ribosomal RNA
Source: RNAcentral